CCUACGGGUGGCAGCAGUAGGGAAUUUUCGUCAAUGGGCGCAAGCCUGAACGAGCGAUGCCGCGUGAGUGAAGAAGGCCUUCGGGUCGUAAAGCUCUGUUGCGGGGGAAAAAAGGCAGCAUCAGGAAAUGGGUGCUGACUGAUGGUGCCCCGCCAGAAAGUCACGGCUAACUACGUGCCAGCAGCCGCGGUAAUACGUAGGUGGCGAGCGUUAUCCGGAUUGAUUGGGUUAAAAGGGUGCGCAGGCGGCCUGUUAAGUCAGCGGUAAAAGCCCGGGGCUCAACCCCGACGAGCCGUUGAAACUGGCGGGCUGGAGUUGGAGAGAAGUACGCGGAAUGCGCGGUGUAGCGGUGAAAUGCUUAGAUAUCGCGCAGAACCCCGAUUGCGAAGGCAGCGUACCGGCUCCACACUGACGCUGAGGCACGAAAGCGUGGGUAUCGAACAGGAUUAGAUACCCUAGUAGUC
Molecule: ribosomal RNA, 464 nt
Filed under: uncultured bacterium
Lineage: Bacteria
Description: partial 16S ribosomal RNA
Rfam family: Bacterial small subunit ribosomal RNA
Source: RNAcentral